This 842-nucleotide long non-coding RNA is filed under the name Olea europaea subsp. europaea. Lineage: Eukaryota; Viridiplantae; Streptophyta; Magnoliopsida; Lamiales; Oleaceae. The record is from RNAcentral.
GUCCGUGACAAAAAAUCAUAUGUCUGUAACUUAAAGAUAAUUUGUGACCGAUAAACUGUGACAUAUGUGACCCAUAGAUAUAAUGUGACGUGUAAUUUGAAUGAUCCGUGACCUCAAAAUAAUAUGUGAUCUACAAAAUUUUUUAUCUAUGACCAUGAAAUAAUUUUGUGACCAAUUAAUUUGACGAUAUGUGACCAAUAAAUAAAUCUGUGACUUAUAACUAUGAAUAUGUGACAAUUAAUCGUGUAAUUGUGACUUUAUUAUCUUCAUUUAAUAAAUAUUUUUAAUUAAUUAAAUAUAAACCUGAUUUUUGAAUUUUAAAAGUAUCUAUUUGAUUUUUGAAUUAGGGAAAACUUAAUAGCUGAGAUGUGAACUCUUCCCUAUUUAAAUUGUAUCCCCAAUAAAGCAUGUCCAAGAAUUAAUAGGCUAAAAGUCCAAAUAACAUUCAAAAAACAAAUAAAUAAAUCAGCCCAAUGAAAAAUUCUGGAACAUGAUCAAUAUCCAAAUUUAUAUGUUUUCCAAUUGGCCCAGUGAACAAAUUAAAACCAAUGGUUUUCAAAUGGCCCAAUAGCUAUGGCCCACCAAAAGCAUCAUCUUCUACACAUAAAAUUGGUCUCUGUACGUGAAUUAAAACCAGAGAAUUUCUUCAAUCUCUAGAUUCUGUACCUCCUCAAAUUGAACCUUUUCUCCAUCAAAACUCAAGUUUAAAACUACAUAGAGGCUAUAAAAUCGAUUUUAUGGAGAGCUAAGAAUUUAUUUUUCAGAAUAUAAAUCAAUCAGAGAAGAUACUCUUUACAGAUUAAUGGUAAAACACCAAAACAGAGGUAAUAUGAGGCUCUGAC